GCCGGUGAUUAUUGCGAAGGGGUAAUACCCGAUCCCAUUCCGAACUCGGAAGUCAAGCCCUUCAGCGCCAAUGGUACUUU
This 80-nucleotide ribosomal RNA is filed under the name Candidatus Pelagibacter sp. The record is from RNAcentral. Lineage: Bacteria; Pseudomonadati; Pseudomonadota; Alphaproteobacteria; Candidatus Pelagibacterales; Candidatus Pelagibacteraceae.